Molecule: ribosomal RNA, 460 nt
Filed under: uncultured bacterium
Lineage: Bacteria
Description: partial 16S ribosomal RNA
Rfam family: Bacterial small subunit ribosomal RNA
Source: RNAcentral
CCUACGGGAGGCAGCAGUGAGGAAUAUUGGUCAAUGGACGGAAGUCUGAACCAGCCAUGCCGCGUGCAGGAAGACGGCUCUAUGAGUUGUAAACUGCUUUUGUCCAAGGGUAAACCUGCAUACGUGUAUUCAGCUGAAAGUACUGUACGAAUAAGGAUCGGCUAACUCCGUGCCAGCAGCCGCGGUAAUACGGAGGAUCCAAGCGUUAUCCGGAUUUAUUGGGUUUAAAGGGUGCGUAGGCGGAUUGAUAAGUUAGAGGUGAAAUGUCCGAGCUUAACUCGGGAACUGCCUCUAAUACUGUUGAUCUAGAGAGUAGGUGCGGUAGGCGGAAUGUAUGGUGUAGCGGUGAAAUGCUUAGAGAUCAUACAGAACACCGAUUGCGAAGGCAGCUUACCAAUCUAUAUCUGACGUUGAGGCACGAACGCGUGGGGAGCGAACAGGAUUAGAUACCCCUGUAGUC